AUUGAACGCUGGCGGCAGGCCUAACACAUGCAAGUCGAGCGGAUGAGAGGAGCUUGCUUCUCGAUUCAGCGGCGGACGGGUGAGUAAUGCCUAGGAAUCUGCCUGGUAGUGGGGGACAACGUUUCGAAAGGAACGCUAAUACCGCAUACGUCCUACGGGAGAAAGCAGGGGACUUUCGGGCCUUGCGCUAUCAGAUGAGCCUAGGUCGGAUUAGCUAGUUGGUGAGGUAAUGGCUCACCAAGGCGACGAUCCGUAACUGGUCUGAGAGGAUGGAGGAGUCCCACUGGAACGGAGACAAGGUCCAGACUACUACGGGGGGUAGCAGUGGGGAAUAGUGGACAAUGGGCGAAAGCCUGAUCCAGCCAUGCCGCGUGUGUGAAGAAGGUCUUCGGAUUGUAAAGCACUUUAAGUUGGGAGGAAGGGUUGUAGAUUAAUACUCUGCAAUUUUGACGUUACCGACAGAAUAAGCACCGGCUAACUCUGUGCCAGCCGCCGCGGUAA
RNAcentral lists this ribosomal RNA (501 nucleotides) under uncultured bacterium. RNAcentral describes it as "partial 16S ribosomal RNA". It matches the Rfam family "Bacterial small subunit ribosomal RNA", at positions 30 to 523 of the family's 1533-position model. The record is from RNAcentral.